UACGUAGGUGGCAAGCGUUAUCCGGAUUUACUGGGUGUAAAGGGCGUGUAGGCGGGGAAGCAAGUCAGAUGUGAAAACCACGGGCUCAACCUGUGGCCUGCAUUUGAAACUGUUUUUCUUGAGUGCUGGAGAGGCAAUCGGAAUUCCGUGUGUAGCGGUGAAAUGCGUAGAUAUACGGAGGAACACCAGUGGCGAAGGCGGAUUGUUGGACAGUAACUGACGCUGAGGCGCGAAAGCGUGGGGAGCAAACAGG
This 253-nucleotide ribosomal RNA is filed under the name uncultured bacterium. Its description in RNAcentral is "partial 16S ribosomal RNA". It matches the Rfam family "Bacterial small subunit ribosomal RNA", at positions 524 to 776 of the family's 1533-position model. The record is from RNAcentral.